RNAcentral lists this long non-coding RNA (2444 nucleotides) under Vigna radiata. RNAcentral describes it as "long non-coding RNA (VRAD_LNC010816)". The record is from RNAcentral. Lineage: Eukaryota; Viridiplantae; Streptophyta; Magnoliopsida; Fabales; Fabaceae.
UUUAUAUUCAUUUUUUUUUCCUGAUCUUCAACAUAACAAGACCAAUCAAUCAUACUCUGAUCAUUCUGGGUACCUGUUGAAAUAGACUGGAAGAUGGAGAGAUCUUGGACAAGAAGGUCUUCUGUAACGACUUUGUUAAUUUAACCCAUAAUACGGGUGUCUUCUUGUAUGAUGACCUAUUGGCAAUUGUAUCACUUCGCUAUCAAACUAUACAUGUUCUUCAGAUAAGAGAUGCUGGUAACCUUGUUGAUGUACGGGCUAUUGGGGAAUUCUGCCGUGAAGAUGACCAGCUUUUUCUCAAUUCCAAUGCUCAGGUCAGCAAGNUUUUUAUAAAUAUUUCAUUAACAUAAUAUUAAAAAUAUUAAUUUUGUAGAGAUAACUUUUCUGACAUGAAAAAUUCGUUUCUUCGUUUCCAGGGUGAACCUUUACGGUUUGUGGACACGCUUUAAUGUACAGAAGCAGCAAUAUUGUGGCUAGGAUUUUUAAUCGUCAGAUUUGCACUCCUCCUCCUGGCACUAGUGUAAUUUAUUUUCACUACCAAUAAUAUUUGUUGUUGUUUUUUCUGAGAAUUAUUACAUGUGUUGUCUUCUUUAGCCACUUUUUAGGGUUUAGGGGGGGGGGGGGGAGUGUUAAGAAGAAAUGGUACAGGGUUGUAAGUUGUAAUUGUAGGAAAUGUGAACAUUCCCCGGUGAACUAUCAAAAACAUGAUUGAGGGAAGAUAAACAAGGUUUUGCUUUGUCUACACUUUUUGUAUUUAGAGAGGUUGGACAGUUUCUUUGAUUCUGGUUGUAUUAUGCAGUGUCAAGUAUAACCUGAUGUUUUUAAAGUUGAAGCUUGAAAUGCAAAAGAUAAAUAUGAUGUGCCAAUUUGGAAGAUUUGCUUUCACUUUUUGAAAUUUGUUGUCUUGUUCCUCUGUUGAAGGAACCUGAAUCGAAUUUAAUUUUUGCAGGUGUAAUUUAAUUCUUGCAGGUUCAUCAUGCUCGGUGUUUCUAUGAAAAUUUGGUGCCAAGUUACACUAUUUAUGAGGUUGAGUGCCCAGACCACUUGUUUCGUAAAUUCACUGAUGAUGGACAGUACCUUAUAAGUUUCAGCAGAAAUUAUCAGGAGCUGAUCGUUUAUAGGCCCAGAUGGCUUUCGUUUUCAUGCAAAGAUGAAGAUUGCGAUAAACAUGAUUUGCCAUCUAGAGCUAAAAGAUUUGACAGUUUUUUCACCCAACUAUAUUGUGUACCACUUGCUUCUUGUAAUGAGCUUAUAUGUAAAGAUUUCUUUCUUUACUUGGAGAGCCAGCAAUUUGGACUGUUUGCUACUUCAACGCCUGCCCAAGUUUCUGAUGCACCUGCUGUAGGAGGAGCUGUCCAUGGUGUUCCUUCAAUUGAAAAGAUAACUUUCCACCUCUUGAGGUGCGUAUUCAUCAUUCUUUAUAUUCAUUUUUUUUUCCUGAUCUUCAACAUAACAAGACCAAUCAAUCAUACUCUGAUCAUUCUGGGUACCUGUUGAAAUAGACUGGAAGAUGGAGAGAUCUUGGACAAGAAGGUCUUCUGUAACGACUUUGUUAAUUUAACCCAUAAUACGGGUGUCUUCUUGUAUGAUGACCUAUUGGCAAUUGUAUCACUUCGCUAUCAAACUAUACAUGUUCUUCAGAUAAGAGAUGCUGGUAACCUUGUUGAUGUACGGGCUAUUGGGGAAUUCUGCCGUGAAGAUGACCAGCUUUUUCUCAAUUCCAAUGCUCAGGUCAGUAAGCUUUUGGUAUUGACUUUAUUUUAAUGCGUUUUGUUUAGGACACAAUUACAUAGAUUGUCAUGGACUUUGAGAAAAAAGAAAUUGUAACAUUUAGUGGAACUGGGACUUGCAACAAGAGUGCAUGGGUUCAAACUUCACAGUUCAAUCCACCCCAUUUUUUGUUCCCUUGCCUUCUCCCUCCUCUUGUGGCUUUCCAUUGGCCACCCCUUAUGCUUCAAUAGUGGGUCCUCCCUUGAACUAAACUAGUUAUUUUAAGGAUACUUAAACUUAUACAAUUCAAGGGCAUGACUUGGCUUGGCAACAAGGAUGCUGGCUUAUGACUUAGAGGUCAUGGGAUCAAAUCCUAGAAGCAACAUAUCUGCUUGUAGGGUUAAGGCCGUGUGUACUUUUACCCUCCCUAGACAUCACUCUGGGUGAUAACUCUUGUCCGUGUACAUUGGGCUGUCCUUUAAUGCUUUUACAGUUGAUUUUUUUUUUUCAAAUCAUCGGGAUGGGUAACAUCUUGGGAAUGUUUUUCAAUUCUGCUUCAGUGGUUCAAGUUAAUAAUUUUGUGGUCAUCUUUAAUUGUCACUACAUCCCAAUCAUCCCUUAUCAAUUAUGAAGCCAUUCUAGCUCAAAAUUGAUAAUUCUGAUGGUUUUGUGGCAUAUGUAAAAAGCUAAACUCACAAAAAUAUAGGCCAAAUCACCAAUCAUUCUGACAGGGC